This 1133-nucleotide long non-coding RNA is filed under the name Vigna radiata. RNAcentral's name for it is "long non-coding RNA (VRAD_LNC015581)". Lineage: Eukaryota; Viridiplantae; Streptophyta; Magnoliopsida; Fabales; Fabaceae. The record is from RNAcentral.
CCCUAAGCAAAAAUGUACUCAUGAAAAUUAACAAAUUAUAGCAAGCAAGUGUUUCACUCAAUCACUCAAGUUUUUAAGGUGAUACUCCAACUCUCAAUUAUUCACAACUCUCAUGAAACAAAAUUGUCAUUCAUCUCAAACAAUCAGCAUCUUUACAUGCAAAUGCCAUCAAAAGGACUUUUCCAAAGCUUGUAAUGAAGUUGGGCUAACAAGAAAGAAUUGGUUUUUCUAGAAUGCAAAAUCCUUGAGUCAAGAGAGCUAAAAAAAUAUUCAACAUUUAAGCACCACUCUCUCACCAAUAUCUCUCAUUCCCAACUUCUUCCCUUUUCUUUUCUUUUUCAUUGAGCUCAUCUUCAUACUUUUCUUCUUUUCUUUUCUUUUUCUCAUGAAUUUUUCUCUUUUCACAACAAUUGAGCUCAAUGCCUUUUACUUGUUUUUUCAAUUUUCCCCCCGUACAACCCCAAACUUGAACCUUUUCAUCGCAUACAAUUAAACUCAUCCCAACUCAAGGUAAAGAUUUACAAGACAAGGGUUCACAUACUGUUUAAGGUCAAGGUUCAAAAAGGGUAAAAUAUUUUCAAACACUUUGGGUGAAAAUUUGGCUAGAGAAGGGUUUUCAAAAAUGGCCUUGAUCCUAUGACAUUCACAUGCAAUUUAAUCAAUCAUCAAGAUUAAGGCAACAUCAUCCAUGUUUUCUUAUGAACAAUACAGCAACGAUAAAAACUCUGGAGCUCAAAAUCUCACACACAUGCUUCCUCACCCAAAAUUCAUUUAUACACCAUGCCUAGCAUCAUGACCACAAUCAUAAAUUCAUCACCCAUCUAUUUCCUGGAUAUCGUCAUGCAUUACACUCAAUUCUCAUCCACAUCCAAAAUCAUCAAAUAGAUUCAUCAUGCACAUCAGAUGGUUCAACAUUUUCAGAACAAGUAGUAAAGCCAAGAGUACAAACCAAAAAAAUAAAAAUUCAACCUAAUCUAUGAAUUUUAAAAAGAAACAAAAUAAAAUAAGACAAAUAAAAGAAAGAAAACAAAAGUAAAAGAAAGAAAAACUAAGUUCUGUCUAUAGACAUCCCUCAGUAGAUGUCUGUUAUCAGCCCAUGCUGUCAUCGGAGUCCUCCUGACUCUCAUCAUCUG